GUAAGUAACUGUGCACAUCUUGACGGUACCUAAUCAGAAAGCCACGGCUAACUACGUGCCAGCAGCCGCGGUAAUACGUAGGUGGCAAGCGUUAUCCGGAAUUAUUGGGCGUAAAGCGCGCGUAGGCGGUUUUUUAAGUCUGAUGUGAAAGCCCACGGCUCAACCGUGGAGGGUCAUUGGAAACUGGAAAACUUGAGUGCAGAAGAGGAAAGUGGAAUUCCAUGUGUAGCGGUGAAAUGCGCAGAGAUAUGGAGGAACACCAGUGGCGAAGGCGACUUUCUGGUCUGUAACUG
Molecule: ribosomal RNA, 293 nt
Filed under: Escherichia coli
Lineage: Bacteria; Pseudomonadati; Pseudomonadota; Gammaproteobacteria; Enterobacterales; Enterobacteriaceae
Description: partial 16S ribosomal RNA
Rfam family: Bacterial small subunit ribosomal RNA
Source: RNAcentral